AUACAUCAAUAAGUAGAUCAUUUGCUUUGCAAGCGAAUAAUAUCGGUUCAAAUCCGAUU
RNAcentral lists this transfer RNA (59 nucleotides) under Metschnikowia bicuspidata var. bicuspidata NRRL YB-4993. It matches the Rfam family "tRNA", at positions 7 to 64 of the family's 71-position model. From Rfam's summary of the family: Transfer RNA (tRNA) molecules are approximately 80 nucleotides in length. Their secondary structure includes four short double-helical elements and three loops (D, anti-codon, and T loops). Further hydrogen bonds mediate the characteristic L-shaped molecular structure. tRNAs have two regions of fundamental functional importance: the anti-codon, which is responsible for specific mRNA codon recognition, and the 3' end, to which the tRNAs corresponding amino acid is attached (by aminoacyl-tRNA synthetases). tRNAs cope with the degeneracy of the genetic code in two manners: having more than one tRNA (with a specific anti-codon) for a particular amino acid; and 'wobble' base-pairing, i.e. permitting non-standard base-pairing at the 3rd anti-codon position. The record is from Rfam by way of RNAcentral. Lineage: Eukaryota; Fungi; Ascomycota; Pichiomycetes; Serinales; Metschnikowiaceae.